RNAcentral lists this small nucleolar RNA (122 nucleotides) under Ursus maritimus (polar bear). RNAcentral's name for it is "Small nucleolar RNA SNORA1". It matches the Rfam family "Small nucleolar RNA SNORA1". From Rfam's summary of the family: ACA1 is a member of the H/ACA class of snoRNA that guide the sites of modification of uridines to pseudouridines. RNAcentral also lists the same sequence under 1 other name. Lineage: Eukaryota; Metazoa; Chordata; Mammalia; Carnivora; Ursidae. The record is from Rfam by way of RNAcentral.
AAUCUUAAAAUAAAUAAAUAAAUAAAUAUAAAAAAUUUAAAAAUUGCAGCGAUUAGAGACACAGGUUAUGCUUCCAUCACAGCAACUUUAUUGCUGUGGUGACAAUGAGACCUGUAACAUUU